GAGGAAUAUUGGUCAAUGGGCGCGAGCCUGAACCAGCCAAGUAGCGUGCAGGAUGACGGCCCUAUGGGUUGUAAACUGCUUUUGUAUGGGGAUAAAGUCAAUCACGUGUGAUUGUUUGCAGGUGCCAUACGAAUAAGGACCGGCUAAUUCCGUGCCAGCAGCCGCGGUAAUACGGAAGGUCCGGGCGUUAUCCGGAUUUAUUGGGUUUAAAGGGAGCGUAGGCCGGAGAUUAAGUGUGUUGUGAAAUGUAGACGCUCAACGUCUGACUUGCAGCGCAUACUGGUUUUCUUGAGUACGCACAACGUUGGCGGAAUUCGUCGUGUAGCGGUGAAGUGCUUAGAUAUGACGAAGAACUCCGAUUGCGAAGGCAGCUGACGGGAGCGCAACUGACGCUUAAGCUCGAAGGUGCGGGUAUCGAACAGGAUUAGAUACCCUGGUAGUCCGCACAGUAAACGAUGGAUGCCCGCUGUUGGUACCUGGUGUCAGCGGCUAAGCGAAAGCAUUAAGCAUCCCACCUGGGGAGUACGCCGGCAACGGUG
RNAcentral lists this ribosomal RNA (539 nucleotides) under uncultured bacterium. RNAcentral describes it as "bacterial SSU rRNA". It matches the Rfam family "Bacterial small subunit ribosomal RNA", at positions 356 to 896 of the family's 1533-position model. The record is from RNAcentral.